GACGAACGCUGGCGGCGUGCUUAACACAUGCAAGUCGAACGGAAAGGCCCUGCUUUUGUGGGGUGCUCGAGUGGCGAACGGGUGAGUAACACGUGAGUAACCUGCCCUUGACUUUGGGAUAACUUCAGGAAACUGGGGCUAAUACCGGCUAGGAGCUCCUGCUGCAUGGUGGGGGUUGGAACGUUUCGGCGGUUGGGGAUGGACUCGCGGCUUAUCAGCUUGUUGGUGGGGUAGUGGCUUACCAAGGCUUCGACGGGUAGCCGGCCUGGGAGGGUGACCGGCCACAUUGGGACUGAGAUACGGAGCAGACUCCUACGGGAGGCAGCAGGGGGGAAUAUUGCACAAUGGGCGGAAGCCUGAUGCAGCAACGCCGCGUGCGGGAUGACGGCCUUCGGGUUGUAAACCGCUGUCGCCUGUGACGAAGCGUGAGUGACGGUAAUGGGUAAAGAAGCACCGGCUAACUACGUG
RNAcentral lists this ribosomal RNA (468 nucleotides) under uncultured bacterium. RNAcentral's name for it is "partial 16S ribosomal RNA". It matches the Rfam family "Bacterial small subunit ribosomal RNA", at positions 28 to 507 of the family's 1533-position model. The record is from RNAcentral.